UGCUUACACAUGCAGUCGAACGGUGAACACGGAGCUUGCUCUGUGGGAUCAGUGGCGAACGGGUGAGUAACACGUGAGCAACCUGCCCCUGACUCUGGGAUAAGCGCUGGAAACGGCGUCUAAUACUGGAUACGAGUAGCGACCGCAUGGUCAGUUACUGGAAAGAUUUUUUGGUUGGGGAUGGGCUCGCGGCCUAUCAGCUUGUUGGUGAGGUAAUGGCUCACCAAGGCGUCGACGGGUAGCCGGCCUGAGAGGGUGACCGGCCACACUGGGACUGAGACACGGCCCAGACUCCUACGGGAGGCAGCAGUGGGGAAUAUUGCACAAUGGGCGAAAGCCUGAUGCAGCAACGCCGCGUGAGGGAUGACGGCCUUCGGGUUGUAAACCUCUUUUAGCAGGGAAGAAGCGAAAGUGACGGUACCUGCAGAAAAAGCGCCGGCUAACUAC
RNAcentral lists this ribosomal RNA (447 nucleotides) under Microbacterium sp. Its description in RNAcentral is "bacterial SSU rRNA". It matches the Rfam family "Bacterial small subunit ribosomal RNA", at positions 45 to 504 of the family's 1533-position model. The record is from RNAcentral. Lineage: Bacteria; Bacillati; Actinomycetota; Actinomycetes; Micrococcales; Microbacteriaceae.